GGGCUUUACACCGGGAGGUGGGGUGGUUGUUACAUAACUCACUGAUCUUUUGUUUUUCAGGCUAUUCUCAUAGCACCUUUUCGCCUCUUUCUGAUCAGACUUGAUCGUGAUCACCACCCCUUCCAUGGACGGCAACUUCACCUUCAUGUGCCGAGUCGACGGAAUGGCGCCUAUCCUGUUAAGAGUGGGCCUUCCCAACAGGAUGUUAUAUGCUGAAUGGGCGUUUACGAUGAGGUACUUGAUUUUCUCCGUCCUCGACCCAGCCUCAUCUAUAAACGUAGUUCUCAG
This 288-nucleotide long non-coding RNA is filed under the name Phaseolus vulgaris (common bean). RNAcentral describes it as "long non-coding RNA (PVUL_LNC002248)". Lineage: Eukaryota; Viridiplantae; Streptophyta; Magnoliopsida; Fabales; Fabaceae. The record is from RNAcentral.